UGAGUGCGAGCGGCUACGGCCGCGAAGUGGGUGAUGUCAAGCUUCCAAGAAAAGCCCUAUACCCGUUAAGGCAUGAUGGCCUGUACCCGAAACCGACACAGGUGGGGUGGUAGAGAAUACCGAGGGGCGCGAGGUAACUCUCUCUAAGGAACUCGGCAAAAUGGCCCCGUAACUUCGGGAGAAGGGGUGCCACCGCAAGGUGGUCGCAGUGAAGAGGCCCAGGCGACUGUUUACCAAAAACACAGGUCUCCGCUAAGUCGCAAGACGAUGUAUGGGGGCUGACGCCUGCCCAGUGCCGGAAGGUUAAGGAAGCUGGUCAGCGCAAGCGAAGCUGGCGACUGAAGCCCCGGUGAACGGCGGCCGUAACUAUAACGGUCCUAAGGUAGCGAAAUUCCUUGUCGGGUAAGUUCCGACCCGCACGAAAGGCGUAACGAUCUGGGCGCUGUCUCGGAGAGAGGCUCGGCGAAAUAGAAUUGUCUGUGAAGAUGCGGACUACGUGCACCCGGACAGAAAGACCCUAUGAAGCUUUACUGUAGCUUGGUAUUGUGCCCGGGCUCUGAAUGCGCAGGAUAGGUGGGAGGCUUUGAUCCAUAGCUUGCGGGUCAUGGUGAGCCAACGGUGAGAUACCACUCUUUCAGAGCUAGGGUUCUAACGGUCACCCGUCAUCCGGGGACCGGACAGUAUCAGGUGGGCAGUUUGACUGGGGCGGUCGCCUCCUAAAAGGUAACGGAGGCGCGCAAAGGUUUGCUCAGGCUGGUUGGAAAUCAGCCGACGAGUGCAAAAGCAGAAGCAAGCUUGACUGUGAGACCUACAAGUCGAACAGGGACGAAAGUCGGCUUUAGUGAUCCGACGGUUCUGAGUGGAAGGGCCGUCGCUCAACGGAUAAAAGUUACUCUAGGAUAACAGGCUGAUCUCCCCCAAGAGUUCACAUCGACGGGGAGGUUUGGCACCUCGAUGUCGGCUCAUCGCAACCUGGGGCUGAAGUCGGUCCCAAGGGUUGGGCUGUUCGCCCAUUAAAGCGGUACGCGAGCUGGGUUCAGAACGUCGUGAGACAGUUCGGUCCAUAUCCGGUGCACGCGCAGGAACAUUGAGAGGAUUUCUCCCUAGUACGAGAGGACCGGGAGGAACGCACCUCUGGUGUGCCAGUUAUCGUGCCAACGGUAAACGCUGGGUAGCCAUGUGCGGAGUGGAUAACCGCUGAAAGCAUCUAAGUGGGAAGCCCACCUCAAGAUGAGUGUUCCCAUGGCAUAAGCCAGUAAGGUCACGGGAAGAACACCCGUUGAUAGGCUCUACGUGGAAGCCGGGUAACCGGUGAAGCGGAGGAGUACUAAUAGACCGAGGGCUUGAC
Molecule: ribosomal RNA, 1348 nt
Filed under: metagenome
Description: bacterial LSU rRNA
Rfam family: Bacterial large subunit ribosomal RNA
Source: RNAcentral